Molecule: long non-coding RNA, 642 nt
Organism: Mauremys mutica (yellowpond turtle)
Lineage: Eukaryota; Metazoa; Chordata; Testudines; Geoemydidae
Exons: 3
Source: RefSeq, a predicted model, not a curated record
AAUACUUCCAUGUACUUACUAUUAAUUGAAACUGUUCUUUAUUUUAAAAAGUAUUGUUUUUACUAUAAAUAUAGCUACGUUCUAUGCAUUGAACAGAGUGGUGAUCCUGAGUUGAAACUGAACAGUCCAGGACUUAUGAGAAUAUAUUACGCUGAUAAAGAAUGUAAGACUAUUGCUCUAUGUACAUCUAUAUCUGCAGGCAACAAGGUGACAAAUGGACAGGAAUUUAGCCUCCAAGAGUUCAAUAAGCUGGUAUUGUCCUGACAUCGCAAAGUGUUUACCACAAAAAUCCUCUUCAUCUAUCACCCAUGCCCAGCCUCUCUGCCGAUUCUAAUUCCAGCGACAUUGAAACCUCAAGCCCUUUGACACUUUUCAGAACACAUUAUCCCACUGUGACAUGUUGGAGUUCAAACCACACCAGUAAGGGGCUGUGUUACUGCCUACCCUGCAACUCUGGGUGCCUUAAAUGCCAUGCUGCUGUGGCUUACAGCCCUGACACCAACAGCCGGCCUACAAACAUGCAAGUCAUACCCUGGCUUCCUCCAUCCAAUUAUUGUUUUCAGAGUGACUCCAACCCCAUCCCACCACUCUCAAAUGCACCCCAAACUGUCUCCCUGCAGGGUCCAGCCCUCUCCUGGAACA